This 435-nucleotide ribosomal RNA is filed under the name uncultured bacterium. RNAcentral's name for it is "bacterial SSU rRNA". It matches the Rfam family "Bacterial small subunit ribosomal RNA", at positions 28 to 477 of the family's 1533-position model. The record is from RNAcentral.
GACGAACGCUGGCGGCACGCUUAACACAUGCAAGUCGAACGAGAGAAGAGAAGCUUGCUUUUCUGAUCUAGUGGCGGACGGGUGAGUAACACGUGAGCAAUCUGCCUUUCAGAGGGGGAUACCGAUUGGAAACGAUCGUUAAUACCGCAUAAUAUAAUUGAACCGCAUGAUUUGAUUAUCAAAGAUUUAUCGCUGAAAGAUGAGCUCGCGUCUGAUUAGCUAGUUGGUAAGGUAACAGCUUACCAAGGCGACGAUCAGUAGCCGGACUGAGAGGUUGAUCGGCCACAUUGGGACUGAGACACGGCUCAGACUCCUACGGGAGGCAGCAGUGGGGAAUAUUGCACAAUGGAGGAAACUCUGAUGCAGCGAUGCCGCGUGAGGGAAGAAGGUUUUAGGAUUGUAAACCUCUGUCUUCAGGGACGAAAAAAGACGGUA